GUGAUUGAUUCAGCCAUACCUACUAAAAUUGGAAUAAUGAAGAGAACAUUAGUAUGGUCCCUAAACAAGGAUGACACAUAAAUUCAUGACGCAUUUCAUAUUUUU
Small nuclear RNA from Suncus etruscus (white-toothed pygmy shrew), 105 nucleotides. The record is from RefSeq and is a predicted model, not a curated record. Lineage: Eukaryota; Metazoa; Chordata; Mammalia; Eulipotyphla; Soricidae.